AUAAAUAACCCAAAGAAACAUGAAUAUCUUAUUGACAUUAAUAUCAUAUUGAAACACAAAACACAUAAAACCAGUAGCCACAACAACAAAGAAUAUACUAGAGGGAUUAUGAAUAGUUCAUCAAUUAAAUGAAGAGUCAACAGUAUAGAGAGAAAACUAUCGUUUGUCCCGACAAAUUAAAUGCUUGUCAAUUAGGAUCAGACAAUAGACCAAACUGCUGUAGUUUCACAAACCUGAGGGGUUGAAGGAAGCAUGU
Molecule: unclassified non-coding RNA, 256 nt
Filed under: Hevea brasiliensis (rubber tree)
Lineage: Eukaryota; Viridiplantae; Streptophyta; Magnoliopsida; Malpighiales; Euphorbiaceae
Source: RNAcentral